This 530-nucleotide long non-coding RNA is filed under the name Androctonus crassicauda. The stretch from base 487 to 530 matches the Rfam family "Histone 3' UTR stem-loop". The record is from RNAcentral. Lineage: Eukaryota; Metazoa; Arthropoda; Arachnida; Scorpiones; Buthidae.
AUGAUGGACAAAAGCAAAUAUACAGACCUGGUUAAAUACCAAAUGCAUUGAUUGGCAGCCAGAUAUGAUAAAAUCCGAAUUAUUAGAAAUUGUUAAUGGUCACCGGUACAGAUUCGACGGUUAUAAAAUAGAUAAAUUAGCUGCAGAAGCCAGUCAUAUCGUUCUACGACUGCCACCUUAUCACUGCGAGUUAAAUCCAAUUUGAACUGAUUUGGAGCCAAAUAAAAGGUUACGUGGCACAGCGAAAUACUACUUGGAAGAUUUCUGACGUUAAAAUGCUCGUGGAAGAAGCAAUAAAAACUAUCUCGCCAGAAACUUGGAGUGAUUGCAUCGCUCACAUUAAAAAAAUCGAGGAAAAAUUUUGGACACUCGACGGUCUUCUUGAUGCAGACGUACCUCCUUUAAUAAUUAAUACUGCGGGUACUUCAACUGAUUCGGACACAGUUAUCUGGUAUCGAAUAUUUACCGUAAACGUUCAGUACAAUAAAAAAGGCCCUUUUCAGGGCCAAAAAUUUUGGUAAAGAGAAGCC